AGUGAACGCUGGCGGCGUGCUUAACAUAUGCAAGUCGAACGAGAACGGAAUAUAGCUUGCUAUAUUUGUCAGCUAAGUGGCGCACGGGUGCGUAAUGUAUAGAUAACCUGCCCUUAAGAAAGGGAUAACAGUUGGAAACGACUGCUAAUGCCCUAUAUGCCUUUAAUACAUAAGUAUGCAAGGGAAACGCUUUAGUGCUUAAGGAUGGGUCUGUAUGGUAUCAGCUUGUUGGUGAGGUAAUGGCUCGCCAAGGCUAUGACGCCUAACUGGUUUGAGAGGAUGAUCAGUCACACUGGAACUGAGACACGGUCCAGACUCCUACGGGAGGCAGCAGUGGGGAAUAUUGCACAAUGGACGAAAGUCUGAUGCAGCAACGCCGCGUGGAGGAUGACACACUUCGGUGCGUAAACUCCUUUUAUAUAGGAAGAUAAUGACGGUACUAUAUGAAUAAGCACCGGCUAACUCCGUGCCAGCAGCCGCGGUAA
This 485-nucleotide ribosomal RNA is filed under the name uncultured bacterium. RNAcentral describes it as "partial 16S ribosomal RNA". It matches the Rfam family "Bacterial small subunit ribosomal RNA", at positions 29 to 523 of the family's 1533-position model. The record is from RNAcentral.